AAGCGACACCGCGAGGUGAAGCAAAUCUCGAAAAGACGUCUCAGUUCGGAUCGCAGGCUGCAACUCGCCUGCGUGAAGUCGGAAUUGCUAGUAAUCGCGGAUCAGCAAGCCGCGGUGAAUACGUUCCCGGGCCUUGUACACACCGCCCGUCACACCAUGAGAGUCGGGAACACCCGAAGUCCGUAGUCUAACCGCAAGGGGGGCGCGGCCGAAGGUGGGUCCGGUAAUUGGGGUGAAGUCGUAACAAGGUAUC
This 253-nucleotide ribosomal RNA is filed under the name uncultured bacterium. Its description in RNAcentral is "partial 16S ribosomal RNA". It matches the Rfam family "Bacterial small subunit ribosomal RNA", at positions 1247 to 1500 of the family's 1533-position model. The record is from RNAcentral.